GACUGCGGUAAGGUAGUAUAUUGACUGUGCUAAGGUAGCAUAAUAAUUUGUCUUAUAAUUGAAGUCUGGAAUGAAUGGUUUAAUGAGAAGAGUUCUGUCCCCUUUUUAAAAAUUGAACUUCAUAGUUAAGUAAAAAAGCUUAAAUAAAUUUUUAAGACGAUAAGACCCUAUAAAGCUUUACUUAUAUUUGAUAAAAUGUAAGUAUAUUUAAAUCACUUAAGUUAAGCUGGGGCGGCAAUUUAAUUAAACAUUUUUAGUUAAAACAUAUUGAAUGAAUUAAAAUAAUGAGGAUUUCCUAAUUUAAAAUCAAGUUACUUUAGGGAUAACAGCACAAUUAAGUCUAAGAGUUCUUAUCGAAGAAAAAGAUUGUGACCUCGAUGUUGGAUUAAG
Molecule: ribosomal RNA, 390 nt
Filed under: Helleria brevicornis
Lineage: Eukaryota; Metazoa; Arthropoda; Malacostraca; Isopoda; Tylidae
Description: partial 16S large subunit ribosomal RNA
Rfam family: Archaeal large subunit ribosomal RNA
Source: RNAcentral